This is a long non-coding RNA of Telopea speciosissima, 327 nucleotides long. RefSeq lists it as uncharacterized. The transcript has 2 exons. Lineage: Eukaryota; Viridiplantae; Streptophyta; Magnoliopsida; Proteales; Proteaceae. The record is from RefSeq and is a predicted model, not a curated record.
CAGAUUUACAAUGUUUUGAUAAUUUGCAAGUUUCUCAUUAUAAAUUGAUAAUUGACUGAAAAAAGGAAACAAAUUUUCAAUAAAAAUGACAUUUCGAUUCCAAUAAAAAAGUACACAGCAAUAGAACCAUCACAACAGCUAUAUGCUUGAUGAGAUGCCACCAUUAAUUGAUGCAUUGUGCAGAUAAAGACCUAGGUCCUCAAGGCUGUGCCCAAUCAUCCUUGUUACCAAAUCUUGAAAAACAAGUUAUAGCAUCCAUCAGCAAUGUUAAUUUGACCUCUGUCCCACCCUCCAACCCCAAAACCCCCAUUGCACUCGGCAUGGAUU